Molecule: ribosomal RNA, 253 nt
Filed under: uncultured bacterium
Lineage: Bacteria
Description: partial 16S ribosomal RNA
Rfam family: Bacterial small subunit ribosomal RNA
Source: RNAcentral
UACGUAGGGUGCGAGCGUUGUCCGGAAUUAUUGGGCGUAAAGAGCUCGUAGGCGGUCUGUCGCGUCGGUCGUGAAAACUUGGGGCUUAACCCUGAGCUUGCGGUCGAUACGGGCAGACUGGAGUACUGCAGGGGAGACUGGAAUUCCUGGUGUAGCGGUGGAAUGCGCAGAUAUCAGGAGGAACACCGGUGGCGAAGGCGGGUCUCUGGGCAGUAACUGACGCUGAGGAGCGAAAGCGUGGGGAGCGAACAGG